Non-coding RNA from Hordeum vulgare subsp. vulgare (domesticated barley), 125 nucleotides. Lineage: Eukaryota; Viridiplantae; Streptophyta; Magnoliopsida; Poales; Poaceae. The record is from Rfam.
UUAAUACUCCCUUCGUUCGAAAAUACUUGUCAUAAGAAUGGAUGUAUCUAAAUGUAUCUUAAUUCUAGGUACAUCCAAUUUUGUCAAUUUAUGCGAUAAGUAAUUCCGGACGAAGGGAGUAUCAU